AUAAAUUGAGGUCUAAGCAUAAUAUUGGUCCUUCCUCAAAUGUCACAUUUGAGGUGGACUUUACUGUUGAGUAACUAUGUGAGUAACUAUGUUUUAUAUUUGCAUGGUCCUCAAUUCUUUCAGAAGAAAUAUUCAGUUUUUUGUGUCAAUUGGUUUCAUGCAAUUUUAUAAUACACUUAACAGUCUGUGGGUGUUUGUGGCCUGAGUGAAUUACUAAGAGGAAGGCAUAGACUGCUUCGGUCCGAGAGGUGAAGUCUGGUACACACUGUACGUGUAAGUGUUGAGUGAGGGACCGUGCCCUUUGACCCUGUGUGUGACCUCAGUUCUGGAGUGUAGUGGAGUCCUUCUGUGAGUAAACACACACUCGGCCAACGGGAAGAGAGGAUUUCCUCUGUUUAAACGCUGUGUGUGUGUUCCAGGAGAGAGGAGACAGAAGCGAGGUCAGUGAAAUGGAUGUACUGAGAUUUGAACAUUUUUACCGUUAUUUUGUUUACAUUAUAAGCUUCUAACAGGCUGAAAAAAUCAUAUAUCUUACCAUUUCGUACAGCAAUAUUUUAUAACAUAACCCAUUUCCACCUACAAGGAUGGUGAGAAUAUGUAGUAUGCAGACCAGUAGACAAGGAGAAACAGUGGAAUGAAAAGAAAACACAUAAAGGUGUGGACUGCUCCAGAUAUGAUAAGAGCCAUGCAGACCAAAUCACUCGGGCUUUGUGGACAGGGGAAGAUUGGACAGCUGAGGUGGCAGUGCCAACAGGAAAAGGCCCCCUUUGAAACAGGAAAAGGACGUGAAGAGUGUUUGUCAAAGGAUACUGAGAGGUUUGUUACAUCAACUAAAGGAGCUUCGGUGUGUUUAGGUUGGGGUGUGUGUGUUUGUACUUAUACUUGUAAAGGGCAGAUUUCUGGAAAUGGCCUUACGAAUACAGUCUUUACAAAAAAAUGACUGACAGGGUUUUACCUGAAUAAGCAGCAAAACAGAUCAGACUUUACUCCGUUAGUCAAAAGUGUGGCUAAACAAAUCUAACUGUCACAGUAUGAACAGAAAAAGACCUGGAUGUCCACUGUGAGUGACCUUCACCCAAGUGUCUGUUUUAAUCUAUAAUAAUAAAGAAUAAAAAUAGCCAGGAUCUUAAUGAGAC
Long non-coding RNA from Cyprinus carpio (common carp), 1136 nucleotides. The record is from Ensembl. NCBI's taxonomy places the organism in Eukaryota, Metazoa, Chordata, Actinopteri, Cypriniformes, Cyprinidae.